UAUAUCCUACGGGGGGCAGCAGUGGGGAAUAUUGGGCAAUGGGCGCAAGCCUGACCCAGCAACGCCGCGUGAAGGAAGAAGGCCCCCGGGUUGUAAACUUCUUUUAUCAGGGACGAAACAAAUGACGGUACCUGAUGAAUAAGCCACGGCUAACUACGUGCCAGCAGCCGCGGUAAUACGUAGGUGGCAAGCGUUAUCCGGAUUUACUGGGUGUAAAGGGCGUGUAGGCGGGAGAGCAAGUCAGACGUGAAAUUCCAGUGCUCAACCCUGGAACUGCGUUUGAACCUGUUCUUCUUGAGUGAUGG
This 305-nucleotide ribosomal RNA is filed under the name uncultured bacterium. RNAcentral describes it as "bacterial SSU rRNA". It matches the Rfam family "Bacterial small subunit ribosomal RNA", at positions 333 to 652 of the family's 1533-position model. The record is from RNAcentral.